UGCUGCUGGAGCUGGUGACUGCUGUCAGAAGAGGAGCUGCUGCUGCAGGGGUGGAUGAGAAGCCUUGCUACCCUGAGAGAAGGCUGCCAGCUUAGUCCAUGCUUACUACCUCUUCAUGUCUUCUCUAGAGAAAAUGGAAGUUCCUCAGGAUGUUAGACAUGGAGAUUUCCUUUGCUGGUGCCAAGAGAGGACUCUUCUUUCAGAAAAGUCCCUGCCCACACUGAGUACUUUGGUAGCUAUAAAGUAUUUCUACUUCCAUUUACUUUGAACUAAAGAACAUCUUCAGUAAGGAGAACAGUGAACUGAAAUUUCCUUUCAACACUUCUUUUUUUUC
Long non-coding RNA from Cyanistes caeruleus (blue tit), 334 nucleotides. RefSeq lists it as uncharacterized. The record is from RefSeq and is a predicted model, not a curated record. NCBI's taxonomy places the organism in Eukaryota, Metazoa, Chordata, Aves, Passeriformes, Paridae.